AUUUAUAUAGGUUUAACUAAAAACAUUACAUUUUCACUGUAAAAAAUAAAAAUUAAUUUUUCAUAAUAU
This 69-nucleotide transfer RNA is filed under the name Culex tritaeniorhynchus. RNAcentral's name for it is "tRNA-Glu". The record is from RNAcentral. Lineage: Eukaryota; Metazoa; Arthropoda; Insecta; Diptera; Culicidae.